RNAcentral lists this long non-coding RNA (2767 nucleotides) under Pan troglodytes (chimpanzee). Its description in RNAcentral is "long non-coding RNA NONPTRT008294". Lineage: Eukaryota; Metazoa; Chordata; Mammalia; Primates; Hominidae. The record is from RNAcentral.
AGAAUGGUGUGAACCUGGCAGGCAGAGCUUGCAGUGAGCCGAGAUUGCACCACUGCACUCCAACCUGGGUGACAGAGCGAGACUCCAACUCAAAAAAAAAAAAAAAAGCUUGAGGGUUUUUAUGCUCCAAAAAAUAAUUCCAGGCAGGUUAUGGGCACAUUAGAUAGAGUUCAUUAUACUAUUUUCUUUUUGGGUCUAUUUGAAAAUUCCCAUAGUUAUAAAGUUAAAUAGUUUUGAGUAUGUUUUUUUCCCACAGAGGUACACAUAUGCCCAGCAAUGUCCUCUCUGAAAUUUCAGAUACAAACUUCAAAAUCAUCUGUAUUUGCUCCUCACCAAGCCCCAAACCCGCAGCUGAAGUUCGAAAUCACAGACAGUCUAAUUUGUGUGUUUAACUUACCACGGGUUUAUCAGAGUAUGAGGCGCAUUAUCCACUUACAGUUUUUCAACUUACAGUGGGUUUAUCUGGGUACUAAAUGCGAUUCUGACUUGGGAAUUUCCAACUCGCAGUGGGUUUCCCAGGACUGACCCACCGAGGCUGGGGAGCAUCUGUGCGCCCGCAGUGGGGAGGGAGUUCGCACCCCCUGGUGCUGACAGCUUCUAAGCAGCUCCAUCUCUGCACAGGGGUCAAGUAAGCGGCUCCGUCUCCGCACAGGGUCAAGCGCACGCACUCGCAUUUCCCAGCACUGACAGGAUGUAAACACAGGAGGCCUCCACGCUCCGUUGGCCGCCGAACGGCCAGGGAGCAGGGGCGAGGACCGUGGCAGCCUCCUCGUGCAGAGUUGCAAAAUCCCAGCGCAGGCCCCUCCCUGCCCACGUGACACACCGGUCCGCGGCGGCUCACCUCGGGCAGAAGCACGUCCAGAAUGAACCGGAUCCGGUCGCCGUUGGUGCGCUGGAGCACCUUGGCACCCACCUCCUGGUAGACGCCCUGCAGGUACUUCACCACCACGUCCAGCUGCCCCUCAUCCUCCAGAGGAGUAAAAAUAACUGCACUGAGUUGACGUGUUGGUGCUGGCAGUCGCUACAACAAAAUGAGUAUUUCCAGAGGGAAAAUAGACAUUUCUGAGUUAGACAAAUCCCUUGCAGUUCAUCGACAGCACAUGAUGAAAGCUGGCUGCAGAUCCAGGGAGCAGGAAGCCACUCUGCAGCAAGACGUCUGCCACGUGGUAUCGGCCAGGCUCACUGCAGCACUUGAGGGCCCACAGGGCUCCCGACGCUGAGCUAGGGACGCCCCCGGCCGCAAGGGGCUGGCUACCGAGGCCCCCGUGCCAUGGGGUGGACUGAGACAGUCAGCCAGGGAAGGCAGUGGCCUUGCACAGGGGCUCUCUGCUGCAGCCUUGCCUGGUGGCCCUGGGUAAACUGUCCUCGCCGGAGCCCCAGCUUCCUUACCCGUAAAGCGGGGAAAUGGGGCCGCAACUUCCCAGGACAGUUGUGAGAAUUCAGCGCAGUGACUGAGCCCACGAUCUAACUCUUAACGGCCAGAGCGCAGCCUGGCUCUGCUACUUCCCACAAUCAUUCACACGCGUACACCGCAGCCAUGGAUUUCAAGAGCUACACACAGAGGACACAUUUACUAAUCACAGAGUAAACCAUUUAAAGCAAGCACAAAACAUCAUCCACCUACCAGAAGCGUCUGUUUCUCUUUACAAUCAAAGUGCUUUAAACUUUUAAGAGACACUGUGAAACUUGAAGAAGAGAGAGGGAAAAGUUAACAUGAACUUCCUCUAAUAAGCUAAAACCUUUCCCUGUCUCUGAUUAAGAUUAGUGGAGGCCGCUGGAGGCCCCACCAGCCCCAGCUUAUUUAUGGAAGGUGACUGUUUCCCCAGCUGCCAAGAAGCUCCCAACGCACCAUGGUGGGUCCAGUGACUUCAGCAACACUGACUGGGCCCCGCCAGGACAGGCCGACCUUGGGGCCUGGGUCUCCACUCCACCUCCCACCCUUCGGGGGCAGCACAGAAGUACCAGAUGACACCGGUUCUGCGCGUUCGACUUGGGGAUAUGCAAUGCGAUGGUUUUAAAGGCUGCUUUCAGCCGGCUGAUCCAUCCACGUGUGCUUUCAUCCCAUGACUAAGGAACGACCAGGUAACCCAGGGGCAAACUCAGGUGGACGCAGGGAUGCUGUCUGCACACCUGCGUGGACAUUUUGCUGGUUUGUGGGAAACAGGGCCCCAGUGAGUGUCUGGUUGGGCUGCCUUUCAAAGCCAGCAAAUCAAGUUGUGAAAACUGGGGUGUUUGACCAGACCCUUCACACACAGCCUCUGUUUGACUCACCCAUCCCAGUGAGUGAGAGGUCACAAGAAGGGCACACCUCCAGUGAGACCCCACUAGCCCUGCCCGGGCCUGGACUCCUGCCGGGGUCUCCCCUCUGUCCCUCCAUCCCCACGCCGGCUCUGACUCUGAGAGCGGCCAGCCUGCCCCCUCAGGCCCAUUCACAGAAACCAAGAACAGCGGGUUACCCUUUCAUUUUCGGGUUCAUGUGUCCUUCGAUGUAUAGCACACUUGCUUUCUUAUCUCUCUGCCUGACGCUUUUGACCUGUUCACAAAUCCAAGAAAAUAAAACGUCAAAACGAAAGAGAUCGUGGAUUUUAAAUAUUUUUUUGUGACAUCACAUGAUACAUCUAACAGGUGCUGACCCCAGCUCUGGGGGUGACCCCAGCGAAGUCUCCCGCAAGGCGGCGCUGAGAAACGGCCCCAUGCUCUGCCACACGCAUCACUUGAACGCUUUCCCAUCUGAGCGGAAUCAGCCAGUUUUGUUUGGGUUUUUUAA